GGAGGCGUCGCAUAGCCAGGUCUAGUGCGCUUCACUGCUAAUGAAGUUUGGGUUAACCCCCAUCGAGGGUUCGAAUCCCUCCGCCUCCG
Molecule: transfer RNA, 89 nt
Filed under: Euzebya pacifica
Lineage: Bacteria; Bacillati; Actinomycetota; Nitriliruptoria; Euzebyales; Euzebyaceae
Also listed under: 1 other name
Rfam family: tRNA
About the family: Transfer RNA (tRNA) molecules are approximately 80 nucleotides in length. Their secondary structure includes four short double-helical elements and three loops (D, anti-codon, and T loops).
Source: Rfam by way of RNAcentral